AUUGAACGCUGGCGGCAUGCCUUACACAUGCAAGUCGAACGGCAGCACGGGAGCAAUCCUGGUGGCGAGUGGCGAACGGGUGAGUAAUAUAUCGGAACGUGCCCAGUCGUGGGGAGUAACGUAGCGAAAGCUACGCUAAUACCGCAUACGAUCUAUGGAUGAAAGCGGGGGAGUCGCAAGACCUCGCGCGAUUGGAGCGGCCGAUAUCAGAUUAGGUAGUUGGUGAGGUAAAGGCUCACCAAGCCGACGAUCUGUAGCUGGUCUGAGAGGACGACCAGCCACACUGGGACUGAGACACGGCCCAGACUCCUACGGGAGGCAGCAGUGGGGAAUUUUGGACAAUGGGCGCAAGCCUGAUCCAGCCAUGCCGCGUGAGUGAUGAAGGCCCUAGGGUUGUAAAGCUCUUUCACCGGUGAAGAUAAUGACGGUAACCGGAG
This 437-nucleotide ribosomal RNA is filed under the name uncultured bacterium. RNAcentral describes it as "bacterial SSU rRNA". It matches the Rfam family "Bacterial small subunit ribosomal RNA", at positions 30 to 484 of the family's 1533-position model. The record is from RNAcentral.